This 253-nucleotide ribosomal RNA is filed under the name uncultured bacterium. RNAcentral's name for it is "partial 16S ribosomal RNA". It matches the Rfam family "Bacterial small subunit ribosomal RNA", at positions 524 to 776 of the family's 1533-position model. The record is from RNAcentral.
UACGAAGGGGGCUAGCGUUGCUCGGAAUCACUGGGCGUAAAGCGCACGUAGGCGGAUUGCUAAGUCAGGGGUGAAAUCCUGGAGCUCAACUCCAGAACUGCCUUUGAUACUGGUGAUCUUGAGUCCGGGAGAGGUGAGUGGAACUGCGAGUGUAGAGGUGAAAUUCGUAGAUAUCUGGAGGAACACCGGUGGCGAAGGCGGCAUCCUGGACCAACACUGACGCUGAGGAGCGAAAGCCAGGGGAGCAAACGGG